CCUACGGGGGGCAGCAGUGGGGGAUAUUGCACAAUGGGGGGAACCCUGAUGCAGCGACGCCGCGUGGGUGAAGAAGCGCCUCGGCGCGUAAAGCCCUGUCAGCAGGGAAGAAAAUGACGGUACCUGAAGAAGAAGCCCCGGCUAACUACGUGCCAGCAGCCGCGGGAAUAAGUAGGGGGCAAGCGUUAUCCGGAUUUACUGGGGGUAAAGGGGGCGCAGGCGGCGGUGCAAGCCAGGAGUGAAAGCCCGGGGCCCAACCCCGGGACUGCUGUUGAAACUGCGUGGCUGGAGUGCGGGAGGGGCAGGCGGAAUGCGUGGUGUAGCGGUGAAAUGCGUAGAUAUCAGGAGGAACACCGGUGGCGAAGGCAGCAUGCUGGACUGCAACUGACGUUGAGGCCCGAAAGCGUGGGGAGCAAACAGGAUUAGAUACCCGAGUAGUC
RNAcentral lists this ribosomal RNA (440 nucleotides) under uncultured bacterium. RNAcentral's name for it is "partial 16S ribosomal RNA". It matches the Rfam family "Bacterial small subunit ribosomal RNA", at positions 338 to 795 of the family's 1533-position model. The record is from RNAcentral.